This 72-nucleotide transfer RNA is filed under the name Camelus ferus (Wild Bactrian camel). It matches the Rfam family "tRNA". Rfam says of the family: Transfer RNA (tRNA) molecules are approximately 80 nucleotides in length. Their secondary structure includes four short double-helical elements and three loops (D, anti-codon, and T loops). Lineage: Eukaryota; Metazoa; Chordata; Mammalia; Artiodactyla; Camelidae. The record is from Rfam by way of RNAcentral.
GAGGGUACAGCUCAGUGGUAGAGAGUGUGCUUAGCAUACACAAGGUCCUGGGUUCAAUCCUCAGUACCUCCU